This 373-nucleotide ribosomal RNA is filed under the name uncultured organism. RNAcentral describes it as "bacterial SSU rRNA". It matches the Rfam family "Bacterial small subunit ribosomal RNA", at positions 526 to 896 of the family's 1533-position model. The record is from RNAcentral.
CGGGGGGAGCAAGCGUUGUUCGGAUUUACUGGGCGUAAAGGGCGCGUAGGCGGCGUGACAAGUCACUUGUGAAAUCUCCGGGCUUAACCCGGAGCGGUCAAGUGAUACUGUCGUGCUAGAGUGCGGAAAGGGCAACUGGAAUUCUCGGUGUAGCGGUGAAAUGCGUAGAUAUCGAGAGGAACACCUGCGGCGAAGGCGGGUUGCUGGGCCGACACUGACGCUGAGGCGCGAAAGCCAGGGGAGCGAACGGGAUUAGAUACCCCGGUAGUCCUGGCCUUAAACGAUGGAUGCUUGGUGUCCGGGGUUAUAAAGUCCCCGGGUGCCGUCGCUAACGCUUUAAGCAUCCCGCCUGGGGAGUACGCACGCAAGUGUG